UACGAAGGGGGCUAGCGUUGUUCGGAAUUACUGGGCGUAAAGGGCGCGUAGGCGGUUUUGUAAGUCUGACGUGAAAUCCCCGGGCUUAACCUGGGAAUUGCGUUGGAGACUGCAAGGCUGGAGUCUGGCAGAGGGGGGUAGAAUUCCACGUGUAGCAGUGAAAUGCGUAGAGAUGUGGAGGAACACCGAUGGCGAAGGCAGCCCCCUGGGUCAAGACUGACGCUCAUGCACGAAAGCGUGGGGAGCAAACAGG
RNAcentral lists this ribosomal RNA (253 nucleotides) under uncultured bacterium. RNAcentral describes it as "partial 16S ribosomal RNA". It matches the Rfam family "Bacterial small subunit ribosomal RNA", at positions 524 to 776 of the family's 1533-position model. The record is from RNAcentral.